Molecule: long non-coding RNA, 14934 nt
Filed under: Medicago truncatula (barrel medic)
Lineage: Eukaryota; Viridiplantae; Streptophyta; Magnoliopsida; Fabales; Fabaceae
Description: long non-coding RNA (MTRU_LNC003274)
Source: RNAcentral
UGACACAAUUAUGUAAUGGCAGUUAGGAUUGGAAAAUAACUUGUGUUAAAAUGGGAUUCAAUGCCCCGAAUAAUCAAGGAAUAUUUCUUUGUUUUGACAUAAAAAACUACAAAAGUUAGAUAUCAAGCAUUAUGAUCACCUGGUUCUGAUCCUUCUGUUGUUGCUCCAUUAUGGCAAAUACUCUCUCGAUUCCCAGACUUACACCAACUGCUGGAACUUGCUUCGAACCAAACAUCCCUAUCAGGUUAUCAUAUCGACCACCAGCAGCAAUUGAACCAACCUGUGUAAAAACCAUAAAUCAAUCACUAAAAUAUAAGCAGAAGAUUUCAAUGAAAACUAUGUAAAUGAAACUGACAGAGGAGGGUAUAUGCAAUGCAAAAACUUGACUGCCAUAAGCCAGCCACUCACAAGAAUCAAGGAUUUCAAUUCACUUCAUCAUACAUAAUCAUAUGCUUUCUGAAUAAGAAAUAAUUGCAGAAAAAUGAUCAGAAAAUCGUGUUGAGACCAUCCCAAUCUACAACAACAACAACUAUGUCUUAUCGCAUUAUGAGGGGCCGGUUAUAUGGAUCAAACAACACCGUGAUGUUCUAUUAUAUACCAUAUUUCUAUCAAACUCAUUAAUCUCUAAUUUUUAUUAAUAGUUAUCCUAGGCCUUCCUCUACCUCUAGUGAUUUGACUACCCUCCAUCUACUAUUUCAAGUUAAUAUAAGUGCUGAUCACUGAACUUUUUCUACAAUAUAUAGCAUGCAUUGAACAUGCACUGCUUCAACCAUACAAAAAGAAAUUCUUAGCAUCAUGUUUCUCGUUUACUGCUCAGAUAGAGGAAAGGUGCUAAAGUAGUUUAACCACUAUCCUGCAUAACAUGUUUUGCUACAUUAGAAGUUAAAAUUUAUAUGCCACACAACAGAGAAAGGAAAGGCUUUUAGGAAUGCAGGUAGGUUAUUAAACUUGGACCUCUUCUUUGAACAACCAGUUUGCCAAAGUUUGACUAUAUCCCAUUGAAGUACAAGUCGAGCUAUCAAAGAAUUGGUAAAAAUUGGGCUAAAAUAUAUUUUUCGUCCUUUCUCUUUCACUUAAUAUCUGUUUGGUUCCUUUUUUAAGAUUUCUUAGAAUUUCGGAUGAGCCUAACUCAACCGGCUUGUAAGGUGAGGAUUGCCCCCACUUAUAAAGUCAUGCUCAGACCUUAUGCAAUUUGGGACUCUUUAACAAAAAAAUACGACAGACUAACUUUACCAUCUCUAAAUGAACAAGAAUGCAUAACCAGAUUUGUCCGAAAGAGGAAAUUAAAGUUUGACUCAAAGAUGGUGCAACAAAAGUCUCAACUAAAUCCAAAUGAAGACCAGUCUUUCAUAAUAAUCUAAAAGUCCCUAUAGCAUCUGCUGCAACUUUAUUGCCAUUGCCCACAUAGGUGAAUCAUUCAACAUCACUUGGCAGACAACUCCAAGGGAACCCAUUCUUUAACACCAUGAGGUGUAUUUGGAACAAUUGUUCUUUCAUGUGUUCUUGCAAAAGAAACAUGUGGAUUCCAUUGCUUGUUCCUUUGCCUUCUUGUUUUGCUUAGAGUUUUCCGCAGUCCUUUUCCUUGUAUUCUGAGAGCUAGUAGUCGGGUGAGCACUUUCAGACUUUUCCCUCUUCAGCAUCUCUUCCUCUUGCAAAGUGAGAUAUAAGCUCAUCAAGGGACCAUUGGUUCUUCUGAGUAUUGUAACUCACGUUGAAUUGCUCAAAGUGUGCAGGGAGAGAGGUCAAAACCAAAUGCACAAUCAAGACAACACAUUUUCACCAGCACAUGCAACCCCUUCUUUCACGACUCCAUUGGAUCCAUGGCAUCGAGAGUACCGGUUGAGGAAGAACUACAAGCCAACAAGUGCUCGUUACUCAUCCCUAUAUCUUUGUGUUUCAGAUUAUUGCUAAAGAGACUUUUCGCCAUGGAUCCAGUUGUUGCAGCUACCGCUCCCAAUUUCGCUGACCAAAUUAACAAUAACCUCGUGCCGAAUGGCAUGAAAUUCAAGUCUUGGAAGUAAUUUGUGGAGACAGUUAUUGGAUGCAUGGAUAUGAAUUUAUCCGAGGAAAAAACGCUCCACUGCCACUGCUGAGAACCGAAAUGAAACAAAAUUGGAAAAAUGAAACCGAUACAAUCGUAUGUGCCUCAUGAUUAUCAAAAUAUCCAUACCUGAAAUGAUUAGGGGCUCAAUUACAAAGUGAAAGUGCCAAGAAAUUCCUUGAAACUGUGGAGUAAUUCUUCGCCUUGAGUUUUGAGGUGAGAUUGGCCAUUUCCAUAAUAUACUCCCUUAUGUUCCCUUUACCUUUAUAAUUCAUUGCGCUAUGGUUUCAAGGAAUUUCUUGGCACUUGUACUCUCAGUAAUUGAGACCCUAAUCAUUUCAGGUAUGAACCUUUUGAUAAUCAGUAAUUGAAUCGGUCCCAUUUUUUCAAUUUUGCUUCAUUUGGGUUCUAAGCAGUGGCAGUGAGGCAUUCUUUGCUCAAGGGAUAAAUCCAAGUCCAUGCAUCCAAGAACAAUAUUAACAGAUUCCUUCAUAAACUUGAAUAGCAUCCUAAUCAGCAUAGGAUAUUGUUAAUCUGAGCAGCAGAGUUGGGAGUGGUAGUAUAACAACUGGAUCCAUGGCUAAAAGUCUUUUGGCAGUAAUCUGAAACACAAAGAUAUAGAGACGAGUAACGAGCACUCGUGGCUUGUGAUUCUUCAUCAACCGGUACUCCUAAUGCUUCGAAUACUCUUCAGAUGAAUAUAAGAGACAAUAUGCUUGUGAUUCAGAUUAUUGCCGAGAGGCAUUUUGCCAUAGAUCCGAUGGAGUCGUGAAAAGGAGGGGUUGCAUGUGCCGGUGAAAAUAAGGAGAUGUGUUGAUUGUGCACUUGGAUUUGACUUCUCUCCCACACUUUGGGCAAUUCAAAGUGAGUUACAAUACUCAGAAGGACAUAUGCCCCUCAAUGAGCUUAUAUCUCACUGUGCGCAAGAGGAAGAGAGGCUGAAGAGGGAAAAGACUGAAAGUGUUCACUUGACUACUAGCUCACAAAAUGAAAAGGAAAAGGACUGCAGGAAAUUCUUCUCAAAACGAGAAGGCAGAGGAACAACCAAAGGAGUCAACAUGUUUCAUCUGUAAGAAAACAGGACACAUGAAGGACUGUUCUAAAUACACCCCAUGGCAUGAAAAGAAAGGGUUGCAUGUGAAGUCGUCUACCAAGUGAAGCUGAAAGAUUCAUCUAUGUGGGCAAUGGCAAUAAAGUUGCAGCAGAGGCUGUAGGGACUUUUAGAUUAUGAUUAUUAAAGACUGGUGUUCAAUUGGAUUUAGACGAGAAUUUUGUUGCACCGUCUAUUAGAUGGAAUUUAAUUUCUACUAGAUUUAUUUUGGUCCUUCAUCUUUUUUAAAUAGGUAAAUGUUAGUCAUUUUGGCACAUGUUCAAUAUGAAAAGGAAAAAAAAUGUUGACUUUCAAUGGUUAAAUAGGCGGCAUAAUUAUUGUCUCAAUUGGCAUCCAAUAUCUCAAUUGACAUCCAACAUGUCACAAUUACUGUCUUAUAAGACAACUAAUCACCCUAAGCCUAAUUUUCAAUUUGUUGGUUUUGUUGAAGUAGACAACAAUAUUAAGGCAACUGAUAGUUCAAGUAUACAAAACCUCAAAUAAGCAUUGUUAAGUCAGCAUUUUUUAUAUUUCAUAUUUAACCUGCUGUGAGAAAAAGGCUAUGCUUACCCACUUAAAAAAGUUAAAUGACCAAUAUGUAACUUAAAAAAGAUAAAGGAAGGACUAAAACAAACAUUAGGUAUUGUAAAAAAAAAAAACAGAUAUUAGGAGAACCUAUUCCUGAGUGCAAAAAUUCUAGGCCAAGCGUUACUCACCGGCCGAACUCUGGAUUACCACGGGCCUCCCCUUGGGAACCGAAGGGUUAACACAAAAAAACAAUAUUCGGUAAAAGAUAAAGGACAAAAUAUAUUUUAGCCUUAAAAUAUUAUCGCAGCAACCUUGAUCUAUCUUGAUUAUGUGUUUCUCUUGUGGAGGAAGUGAUAAUCUAAUUAAUUACUCAAUUUUGUUUUUUUUAUCAAAGGAAUAGAUCAUUGAGGGUAAGAAGAGCAAUGCUAUAUAUCAAGAAAGAUUUUAUGAAGAAAAUUUUAAGAAUGACAUGGCAGAAUAAUCACCCUUAGAUUUUAUCAAGAAAUAGUCUUGAAAUUAAUGUUAGCCAAUAAAAUCUCAGCCUGGCCGGAAAUCAUGGGGUGGUGGGUGUUAUGUAUUUUUUUUUUAUGAAAGAUUAAUAAAUGAGACUUAAAUCUAAAGGUGAUUAUUGUGCCAUGUCAUUCUUGGAUCUUUCUUAUAAAAUCAUUCUUGAUAUCUAGCAUUUUCCGGGUAAGAAAUACCCCAUAGGCUACAGCAGCAAAAGAUAAAACACAUGCGAGAAUUAACAGAACCAUCAUUUCAAAAACACUCUAAUUUCUCUGAUUAUCCAAACGCAAUAUACCCAUCUACAAAAAGCAAGGGUAAAAACAUAGAAACCAACAAAAUAAUUUUCUAACAAAAGAUUAAAAACAAUCUUGGUCUGCGCAGAUUUAAAUAUUGCAGCAUAAAAACCAAAUCAUCAAAAAGCAAGUCAGCUCUUACUUAAAUUCAACGCAAAAUCCAUUAAAAAUUAAAUCCUAAUUUAGGAGGUAAUCUGUACAGAAAACACAUAUAACCAAGGAUUGGACCUUAAAUCACAUUUUCUUACCUCCUAUUUAUCUUGACCGCUCAAACCAUUAACAAUGUUUAAAUUCACAAUCUUUCAUUCAAGAACUUUCCCAAUUAAAGUUAAUAUCUCCACCUAAAAAAUCUAAAGUUUCUGUUGUCUGAUAUGACUUGAGAUUUAAAUAGGUCUUUCCAUUAAUUUAAUUAAUCUCUUUUCAACCUUAUUUUGAGUGUGAAAGCUCCUUUGGUUUAAUCCAGCAAAGAACUGUUAAUCCUUCAUUAUAUCUUGUAUUAGACUAGCAUGUUUUAAACCAACUCGUGAAAAUGGGUCUAGCUUGUUGCAUCUAGAGUUUAACAAGACAGUGAACAUCCACUAUAUUCGGGCAGAUAUAAUGAAUUUUUCCUCUCAAAGAAUGAAGGAACUUAACAAGAAACAUUUCAGAAUGAAAAGAACAUAAAAGACGCGAGAAUUACCUGAGCACCCCCUUUAAAAACAGCUUCAAAAAUAACUCCAGUAUAAUAAUCAAGACCCCUGGCAAGACUCAAGUCAAAUACAACCUUAUCAAGGCGUUUUGAUUUAUCCAGAGCUCUGAACAAAAUUUCCAGGUCAUUCAAUGCAUCAACAGAUCCAGCAUUUUCUAAGAAAGCACUGCCUUCUUGUUUAAGUUUCGAUAACAAUGUUAAAGGAUGUCCUUUCUCUUUAACAAAAGUUCCAAUUCUGUCAGCUGUCUCAGCAGUUAAUCCUUUCUCUUCCACCUACAGCAUGAAAGUCAGUAAAAACCACAUUAUUAAAGAUAAGAAAUCACGGUGUUGCAAAAUAUAACUUCCAAAUAUUAACAGUUUAGAGUUAAUUUAUUGUAAUAAUGUUACAAUGAAUUGUGUCGGACAUAUUCUAAAGGGUUUGUUAUGUGCAAUAUUGCACAUGUUAAAGUCACUAAAAGUAGCAACUUUUAUUGAGAAACAACAAUUAUUUAUCAAAAAGUUAAAUAUUUUCCAUUAAAUGCACAAGUUCCAAUGCAAAUUUACUAUUUUGAACUUCUUAACAUGUGCAAAUUUGCACAUGAUAGAAAAACCCUAUUCUAAAAGGCAACAACUUUCGUAUGUCUCAAAAUCAUAAGCCAGUGUAAUGCAAUAUACUUGAAAGAUUAACACUCAGUCUGAUGCAUUCAAUGAAUCCUUUUUCAUUUAAUCAAGUCCAACAUUUGAAAACAUACAGGUUAUUAGCAAAGUAAUGCAAUCCAGAUUCCAGAUAUUUGCUCAAAAAUGAAGACACGGCAAUAGAAAAUGUAAAUGUGAAGUACGUAACCAGUUACAAGGUGUUUUUGCAUCUUCAAUAAAUCAUGCAACUAUAUUUACCAAAAGAAUGCUAAAGCACCAACUUAAAUUUCAUCCCUAAACCAAACUAUUUACCAUUGAUAAAGGAUAAACUAUGAGUAUUUAGAACAUGAGAAUAAAAAUAAAAGCCUACAUCUUCCAAAUGUAAAACACAAUGAACAGCUUAAGCACAACAAAAUUGGUCCGUUCAAUUAUAAUAAAAUCAAUUACAAAGGGAAUAGAAACAAACAACAUAUGCCCUCACCAUUUCUUUUCUUAUCUGUUCAAAUGAUUGUUUGUCUAACUUGUCAAUACUUGAGCAUAUAGUUCUAAACUUCUCAGGAGGUACUCCACAUAUUUGCAUCAUGCCAUCCAGUAACUUUCUGUGAUUCAACUUUACCUGUGAAACAAAAAAGAAUUACAACAGAAUGAUCGAAAUGAAACACAAAAAUAUAAUUUGAAUACAUUAUUGGAUGUGAAAUUUAACCGCUAAAUCAGAAAAGUACAGUCAAUCACCAGACACAUUAAAAUGAAUGAUAUUAUAAGGUUAAAUUAUAGCAGAUAAGUUUGGAUGAGUAAACUAGUCACAUUUAACUAGAUCAUGGGUGCCCGCAAAACUCAAUCAGCAGGCACAUCCAACUGAAUGACAUUAAAAGGUUAAAUUAUAGCAAAUAAGCUGGGAUGAGUGAACCAGUCACAUUUAACAAUAUCACUGAAAGAUCACAUCAGCCAGCAGGUAAUCUGAUAAUUGACAAAUAUGGUAUUUCAGGUUCAACUAUAUUUACCAAAAGAAUGCCGACAAAUAUGGUAUUUCAGGUUGAACUUCAAAUGUAUAAUGAAACCUAUAAGCCCAGCACAUAUACUAAUACAUAUUCUGAUAUUGUGCUAUGUUAGAAAUCUCUCACUAAAAUACAUAUAGACAGACCAUGAAAAAUAACGGUUAUAGAAAUAUCAAAUCAUGAACUCAGUAAAAAGUCUAAAUAGUUCUACAAAUUCAGAAAACCAAUACUUUUUGUAGCAGGGAUGUUAUAAACAUUUACCUCAAAAUCCCCAAUGUUCAGCUCAUCAAGCAAUUCAGUCAAAAUUCUAACAACCUCAAAAUCUGGAGCCAUUUUUUCAGCUGGACCAGCAAUAUCAAAGUCACAUUGAUAAAAUUCACGGUAUCUUCCCUUAGAUGGGUUGUCCCUUCUGUAGACUUUAGCUAUUUGGUAUCUUUUCAAAGAUGUCAGACCAUUCAUGGCCACAAACCGAGCAAAUGGAACUGUCAAGUCAUACCUCAAAGAACAGAGCUCUCCACCCUGUCAAACAAGUUGAUUACCAAUUAGAAUGAGCUGAAAUUCAACUUUAUCAAUGGAUUUGGUGCGAAUCAAUCCCUAAUGGCGGUCUGGUUUAAAAAUAAGAAAUCUAGAUUCAUGAACAUGAUCAGAAAUAUCAGAAGGAAAAAUUAUACAGAGCAAAAAUAUUCAAAUUUUUCACUUAUUUGAAUGCUGUGAGUUUUUUUUUCUACCAAUAUUCUUAAAAUCAACUCAACUAGUCAAGAAGUGAAUAAGCAAUAAUACCUGAUCAGCAAGAUCAUAAAUCAACUUUGAGUCUUCUCCAUAUUUUCCCAUAAGAGUUUCUCGCAAUUCAAAGACAGGUGUAUCCAAGGCUGUGGCACCAUGCCUCUCAAAAACUUCUUCUAUUACUGAAAAUGCUUUCUUUCUAAUAGUCAUUUGUUCUUUAGCGAAAUCACGUGUUCCCUGAGAUAUUUUCAUAUUGUUAGACUCAAGGUAAGACCACAGUAGUUAAUAGCAGAUAGCGGCGCGUAGCGGCCAACCCCAAAAAUGCUAUAGCGGGAUAGUGCAUAGCUCUAUGACCGCUAUUUCAUAAAAAUAAAAACAACAAAAAUAAGGAAACAGAGAGAGCAGAAUAGAAUUUUAUAAGAACAAAACAGAGGAUUGUUUGUACAAACUACAAACAGAAACAGAGAGAGCAGAAUGGAGUUUGGAAUCAAUAAUAACAAAGAAAACUAGAAUAAAAAAGUAACAGGACAACAGAGUUUUGAGAUUGUUAAACAAAAAAAUAACAGGAUAACAGAGCAAACACGACAAAGUAAAGUAGAGGAAGAUUUACAGCAAAGGUUAAGAAGUUUUACAGAACAGCAGAAAAGCAGAGGACGAUUUACAGAAAUACCCUUGUUUUUUUUUUUAAACCAAGGACAAUUUUGUAUUUUCUCUUAAAAUGAAAUAGCGGUUCUAAACCGCAAAACCACUACGAAGCGUUGCGCCGCUAUAGCGCCGCUAUCUCACACUGCAACGCUAUGGCUUGUUGCGUAGCGCUCCGGCACCGCACCGCGUGGCCGCUAUUGACUACUAUGGGUAAAACUACCAACAAUUGCAUCCCAACCACGAACAGAAAUUGACAUAUAAAAAAAAAAAAAAUUAUCAACAGACAACACAUUAAAUUAAAUGCCUUAAAACACAAAUUCAAAAAGGAACACCAGUUCCACAUUACAUGAGGUAAGAGUUAGAAUAUAUAUGAUUAACAGUAACGCCUUGUACAAGAUUCCUUGAAAUAUGAUUUUAACAAUGAAAAUCAUCACUCGUGUCAAACCAGAUCAGAUUACAACUUCGUCAAGGUUGUCAAACUAAAGAGUCUACGUAAUAAUUUGGUAGAGCAUAUGUAGGCUCGACUCAUAAGAGACUACUAAUAAAAAAGGGUAACCCGGAGCUCCCGCAUACGCAGGGUCUGGGAAGAGGUCCAACCAUUUGGUGUAUUGUACGCAACCUUACCCUGAUUUUUACACAAGAGGUUGUUUCCAGGACUUGAACCCAUGACCUUUCAAUCACAUGACAACAACUUUACUCGUAAGAGACUGCUAAUACAGUAAUAUAAAAAACAACCUAUCAUAACAUUGAAAUUCAAUUACAAUAUAUAUAUAUAUAUAUAUGAGUCAGGAUCCAUUGACACCAGGUGUCAACGGAUUCAUUGACACCAAAUCUCAACCGUCGAUUGUUUUUAAUCAAAGGGUGUGAGUUUAUUUGUUAAAUUAAUAGCAUGAUCUUUUUCUCUCAAGACUUAUAGGAUUGCAUACUCCUUUUUCCCAUAGCGGUAACAGACAGCACAGAAUUCCUUUUCGCUAUCACCGAUGGCCGUCUUUUCAUACCAAAAGGUGUGAUCUUUCUAAAUUUAAUUUAAAGGGAUUCCGAUAUGAUUAUUCAAGCCAUUUUCUCACAAAUUCAAUGCAGUUACUAUACAAUCAUGUUUAUUCAAUUAAUCCAAUUACAAAAACUCAAUUAAUCAUAGUUUGCAUCGGUUUCAAUGCAUAUGUGAAAUGGUGGAGAACAAUUUUCGGUUAGGAAAGACGAAUAUCAUUACGGUGGCGGCGGCAGUCAUCAACUUGAGUUUUUUUUUUGUUAUCAAACAAAUUAAUUUUGUUUUAAAACUGAUAAAUGUGCUAAUCAAAAGUAAAGAUACGGUGAAUCAAUUUAAAAAGUUAUUAUUAGCCUUUGAUUAAAAACAAUCAACGGUUAAGAUUUGGUGUCAACGAAUCCGUUGACACCUGGUGUCAACGGAUCCUGACUCUAUAUAUAUAUAUAUAUAUAUAUAGCACUGACAUGAUUGUUUUCUACAUUCUGACUUUAUAACGAGAUGCACAAAUGCAUUGAGUAGAUAUAUAAUCAAUUAAAAUGUUCAAACAUGGUUUCUAUUUGUCUACAAAAAAAAGUGAUAAAGUUAAAGAGAACUAUAGCAUGUGUAAGUAACACAUUUAAUCUUAUCCCUAAAAGAAUCAAUAAAAUCACCUUAGGAAUCUUGGGCAAUCUUCUGCUUUCAUUGCUUUCGACAACAUCCUUUACUUUCAACAAAAAUUCAUUGAAUUCAGGCUUAGCUAUAUCCAAAAAUGAUAGAAAAUCAGCCACCCAACUCUCCAAUUUCCGCAAAUUCUCUACAUCAUUCUUUUUUUCACUCGACAACCUUUCCUUAAUCAACGCCAAAAUCGAACUAGUUCCUUUCCCCAAGACAGCUUUCUUCUUCUUCUUUUCUACUUUGGUAUUCUCUCCAUUUUCCCGAACAAUUCCAAUCUUUUCACUCAAAUCAGCAGCCUCAAGUACAGCAUAAGCCGUCACAAGUUCCCACGCCACAAUUUUCCACACAAGCCCAAACAACACAUUGAUUUCAUGUGCAAAAUUAUCAUAAACCCUACCAGAAUACAACUUAAAAGACUCAUUAAAACUACUAACCAAACUAGCAUCAGUUGGACACUCCUUCCCAAAGAUUUCACUGAGACUCGAUUUCAAAUUAUCGCUACCAAUAGACAACAAAUUACUUUUGGCACGAGCAAAACUACACUCACCCAAUUCCCUCAACGCCAUCGCCAAAGGAAACAACACAUCACACACAGUAUGCUCACUCCCAAGCUCCAAUUUCCCCAACUUAUGUCCCGAAUUCAACUCAACCCGCAUCCUCGAAUGCACCGAUUUCGCUUUCUCCCUCAUAACCCCAUGAACUUUAACAAUUUUCACAACCUCAGGAACACUUUCCUUUCCAACAAACUUAGAUCCAUUAAGCAAAAUCCUCAUAUCACCAGCAACACCAACUUCCUCUUUAGAACUAUGUCCAUCACCAGAAUCCAUCAAAUUGAAAACCGUCACAUCAGCCUUCAAUGCCUCACACGAAAACGCUGCCGCCACGUCAGCAAACCCUAACAAACCCGCCGAUUGAUGAUCCAAAACCGCGGAAACAGCAAGCAACGCCGCACACUCGUUGUUCAUCAACAACGAGUGUUCACCUUCAGUUACAUCAAAUUCUUGAUCGAAUCGAAAAGUGGUUUGAUUCGAAUUGAGAGAUUCUGAAAUCGCUAAUGCAACGUUUUUGGAUGAAUUGCAGAGGAUGAGUUUGUUGAGAAGAACGAUGAGGAAAGCGCGAGUUUCAUCUAGGGUUAGGAAUUCGGGGAUGGUGAUAUUCUGCUUUGAGGAUGGUGGUGAGGUUAAUCGAUCGAGUGCGGAGGAAUCGAUUUUGAUUUGAGAUUUUCCGAUGGCGGUGGCGUAGACGGCAGAGGAAGAGAGUGAUGAACCCUUGCCGCCGAGUGUUACGGCGGAAAGUUCCAUUUUGCGAGAAGAUGUGGGAAUAGGCAAACCAGGGUUUAGGGUUCAGUUCAGAAAUGCAGGGUUCUUUCUUUCGAUAAACUGUUGAGUGAAUAGGCAAAUCUAUUCUCUUUAUUUGAAAAAAAUAUUUUCUUGUAUGUUAUUUUUAUUUUUUUGACAAAAUUUAUUAUAAAAUUAUUAACUUUCAUUUAUAAUCUCCCACAAAUUUGUCUCCGGUUAAAUUGAUCUUUUCAUUAGUUUUUUUUGGUCAAUUAUAUUGUGUUUAAUUUUAAUAUUGUUUUAAGGACAAGAUAAAUUUAGGGACAAGGAAUUAAACAAAUGUGAUGAAUUGCGUUGUGUAACAAUAAGUCAUCAACAACAAAACGAGAACAAUGGUGAUGGAAAUCUAGAGGGAACAAAAGAGUCUAUCCCUUAGCCACUAUUUUGGAACGCCCCCUGUCAAACAAUUUCAAGCCACCACCUCUAUCACCAUUCGACAAGAAGAGUGACCCGCCAAGACACCUUACAAUUUUCAACACCCAGAUGGACAUCAUCGCUGGGGUGGUAUAUGAAUCUACCUUGGUGCUCCAUAGUAGGUAUCAAGACAAGUCCCGAAAGCCAACAACUUUUGGCUAACAAACAUCCCAAAUAUCCACCAUCGAAUUAUUCAAUGUAUGACAGGGACAAAACAACACACUCCAGGAGAGUAACUCGCCCAUUUCAACGAUGCCACCAUUAAGGUCGUAAAUACUAACCAAUAAAUGUUUGUGGGGGCAUUUCAAAAUGGUAUGAAGGUUGGACAAUUCAACGAAUCACUUUUUAAAAUAUGAUAUUCUCUUUGUACUAGCAUGCAGAUGCCACUAAUGUGGUUGUCUAUUGCUUUUUUCAGACUUUUAUUCUUCUUUAAAAUAUGAUAUUCUCUUCGUAGAUAGUGUAUAUGUACAUUUUUAAAAUAUGAUAUUCUUUUAGAGGCAAUGGUCCCACCCACAUUUUAAUAAUUUUUUUUUAUAUACUACAACUAAAUAAUCUUAUUAAAAUGUUUAAUUUACAAAAAAAAAUAUAAACUUCUUUAUUAUGGUACUAGAUUAAUUGGCUACUAAUAUUAUUGGUUUCAUACAUUGAAAAAUGCCAAAGAGUACUCUAAUUAGGACAUUGGUUAAAGAGAUAAAAAUAGAAAUAUUGCAUUAAGAAAUGGUAAAAAAAUAAUCUUUUAAAAGUUAAUGUAUUAUUGAAUUGAAUGUAAACCUACUUCUUUUGGUUUAAGGUUUACUUGUUAGCAAAACCCUUAUACUUUAUAUUAUUUUUAAUUCUCUUAUAUGAUCCUUUCCAUAACGCAUUUUGAAUGGAACCGCAAUUAUAUAGCUUUGUAAAAUAAAAGGCUACUCUUAAAACCAAAAAAAAUAAAAGGCUACUCUUAAAACCAAAAAAAAUAAAAGGCUAUUUUAAAACAAAAAAAGAGCAAAUUAAACCCUAAAAUUAAAAUAGGGGAUACAAAUAUAAUUUAGUCUUUAAAUGUAUUAUCCGUUAUAUUAUCUUGUGACAAAAAUCUCGUAUUUUUCACACUCGUAUACAAAUUGUUUUAUUUAAUCAAUUGUCAUUUUUUUUUGCAUUAAUCCUCCGGCUCUUAGGGUGAUGUGGUCAUUGUGAUCCAGAGUUCGAUCGGGAGUUAAGUAAAAUCAAAGCUACAUAAAUAAUAGAGUUAAAUAUAUUUUGUCUCUAUAAAAUCACAAGUUCUAGCUCACGUGGCAAAAAUUACAGAAAUUGUUAGGUCGAACGCCAUGAUCAAGGUUUGAACAUCGACACCUCCACUUGUGCGUGUGAAAGUACACAAUAACUUUAUCAUUUCGUCUAUCUACAAAAAAAUAAUAUAGUUAUAAAUUUCUUUAACAAACAAAAAAUAUAUAUUAGUUUAGCGUUUCUUAUAUACCUUUUCUAUUUAAAAAAUUAUUUUUUAAUUAAAUUAUGCUAUUUAUACUCGGUCCCCCUAAUUUUAAAUUCCUGACUCCAUCCCUGCACCUCACAUUAUGUUUGUAUAGUUAGAUGAUAUGCAAAGUGUUUUCAAUGAGACUAUAUAUGAGUUGCUUUUGAAAUCCCUGAGUUUCGCUUUGAUGUUCUUGCUUUGUAGCUUCCUUCAUUUUAAGGACAUGUUCGGAUUUUGUUGUUUUUAUUUCAUUUUUUUGUUGUGUAUUUGUACAUAGACAAAACACAUGAAGAAAAUGAGAUUUAUUUGAUUUUAUAUAGAUGAAUGAAUUUUGUAGAUGAAUGAUUGGAUUUUAUUUUAUAUAAUGAAUGAAUUCUGGGUAUUCUUGUUUCGAGUUGUUUUAUACUACUUUAGAGUUUUAAUAAACCUACUAUCUCUUAAUGGAUUUUGAUUUUGAGGUGUUUCAUUAAGCUCUUUACUUUCGUGAUCUAUUUGUGCCUAUAAUUCUUGCAAUAUUUUCAAUUCUGAUUCGACACAUCUCUGCGUAGAUACUUAUUUUGUAAUAUCUUUUCAACUUUGCAUCAUGAACCAUUUCAUUCAAUUUAAUGCAGAAGGUUGGUGUUAUUGGAUUUCAUUUAAAUUAAAUCAGUUUCUUGACAUAGCCCUCUUUAGUUUAUUUCUUUAGUUGAUUCAAGUAAUGGAACAUGUAUCUUGCAGACUCAUUGUUGUCAGAGAAGGUGUCGAUUAUAUGCGUGAAUGCUCGUUUGGUCCUACUUCUCCUACUAAGGAGUAGAGAAGUCUAAAAUAAGCCGGGCCAAACAUAGUCUAGUGUCUUUCUAAGUCAAAACCCUACUUGUAAGUUGUAACUAUCUAAUAUCUUUCUAAGUAUAUGCCCCCUCAUUGUGCAGCUAUAAAAGAUUCAAGCAGCAAAGAAAGAUUCACCACACCAAAUAAGUGUUCUCACACCGAAGCACUGUGUGUUGAAAAUAUACAUUCAACUUCUUUCAAUUAUUAUUACUUUUUUAAAAUUCAAAGUAACUUCUAAAAAUGGAAUUAUAAAAUCAAAAGCGUAUUGAAUGACAAUUAACAAAAAGAAACCUAAGGGGUGUUUGUUUCAAGGUUAAGAAUGACAUUCCCGGGAAUACAUAGCUAGGGAAUGAUUAUACCCAUGUUUGUUAUGAGGUUGAGAAAAAAAUAUUCCUGGGUAUAAAGGUUCCUGGGAAUGGAGUAACUUCCCAUAACUUCCAUUAUUCCCAUGAAUAUAUUCCCAUGUAAAAAGUUUCGCAGACAAUAAAAUAAUGGAACUGUUACAUAAGUUGUUCUCUCAACUAAAUUUAACAAAUGAAUAUGAAACAUCAAAUGUUAGCAAAACCUAUACUCUUUCAACUCUAAAAUACAUCGAACAUUAAAAUACAAAGGGUGUGUUUGUUUCAAGUUUAUCAAAUUUAUUCCUAGGAAUAACAUUCCUUGGAAUAUAAAGAUGAGAAUUUUAUUCCAAAGAAUUUAGGAAAAAUAUGUUUGGUUAGCUUUAUAAUAUUCCAAGGAAAAGAAGAACGAAUGAAAGAAAAUAGGUAUAAGUCAGCUGCAAACAUCCCCAGUGAUUAAAUGCAUAACCUUGGUGAUGAAUCAGACAGCAUAAGAAACAGCAGGAGUAUUUGUCUGAUGGAGGAGAUGGUUUAGGAAAUAACUAGUGACUCAACUAUGUAAUGGCAGUUAGGAUUAGAAAAUAACUUGUGUUAAAAUGGGAUUCAAUACCCAGAAUAAUCAAGGAAUAUUUCUUUGUAUUGACAUAAAAAACUACGGAAGUUAGAUAUCAAGCAUUAUGAUCGCCUGGUUCUGAUCCUUCUGUUGUUGCUCCAUUAUGGCAAAUACUCUCUCGAUUCCCAGACUUACACCAACUGCUGGACCUUGCUUCGAACCAAACAUCCCUAUCAGGUUAUCAUAUCGACCACCAGCAGCAAUUGAACCAACC